CGUGAGUGAUGAAGGCUUUCGGGUCGUAAAACUCUGUUGUUAGGGAAGAACAAGUGCUAGUUGAAUAAGCUGGCACCUUGACGGUACCUAACCAGAAAGCCACGGCUAACUACGUGCCAGCAGCCGCGGUAAUACGUAGGUGGCAAGCGUUAUCCGGAAUUAUUGGGCGUAAAGCGCGCGCAGGUGGUUUCUUAAGUCUGAUGUGAAAGCCCACGGCUCAACCGUGGAGGGUCAUUGGAAACUGGGAGACUUGAGUGCAGAAGAGGAAAGUGGAAUUCCAUGUGUAGCGGUGAAAUGCGUAGAGAUAUGGAGGAACACCAGUGGCGAAGGCGACUUUCUGGUCUGUAACUGACACUGAGGCGCGAAAGCGUGGGGAGCAAACAGAAUUAGAUACCCUGGUAGUCCACGC
Molecule: ribosomal RNA, 409 nt
Filed under: Bacillus toyonensis
Lineage: Bacteria; Bacillati; Bacillota; Bacilli; Caryophanales; Bacillaceae
Description: bacterial SSU rRNA
Rfam family: Bacterial small subunit ribosomal RNA
Source: RNAcentral